AGGGAAUCUUCCACAAUGGGCGCAAGCCUGAUGGAGCAACACCGCGUGAGUGAAGAAGGGUUUCGGCUCGUAAAGCUCUGUUGUUAAAGAAGAACACGUAUGAGAGUAACUGUUCAUACGUUGACGGUAUUUAACCAGAAAGUCACGGCUAACUACGUGCCAGCAGCCGCGGUAAUACGUAGGUGGCAAGCGUUAUCCGGAUUUAUUGGGCGUAAAGAGAGUGCAGGCGGUUUUUCUAAGUCUGAUGUGAAAGCUUCGGCUUAACCGGAGAAGUGCAUCGGAAACUGGAUAACUUGAGUGCAGAAGAGGGUAGUGGAACUCCAUGUGUAGCGGUGGAAUGCGUAGAUAUAUGGAAGAACACCAGUGGCGAAGGCGGCUACCUGGUCUGCAACUGACGCUGAGACUCGAAAGCAUGGGUAGCGAACAGGAUUAGAUACCCUGGUAGUCCAUGCCGUAAACGGUGAGUGCUAGGUGUUGGAGGGUUUCCGCCCUUCAGUGCCGGAGCUAACGCAUUAAGCACUCCGCCUGGGGGAGUACGACCGCAAGGUUGAAACUCUAAAGUGAAUUGAC
RNAcentral lists this ribosomal RNA (570 nucleotides) under uncultured bacterium. RNAcentral describes it as "partial 16S ribosomal RNA". It matches the Rfam family "Bacterial small subunit ribosomal RNA", at positions 356 to 914 of the family's 1533-position model. The record is from RNAcentral.